Molecule: RNA transcript, 2840 nt
Organism: Cydia amplana
Lineage: Eukaryota; Metazoa; Arthropoda; Insecta; Lepidoptera; Tortricidae
Gene: hep
Gene name: dual specificity mitogen-activated protein kinase kinase 7-like
Exons: 18
Source: RefSeq, a predicted model, not a curated record
UGUGGUCUCAUGGAAGGAAAUAAGGAUAUCCUUGGACUGCAGAUCUUUUUUGAUUGCGAAUUUGUGUAUCAAACAAUCAAUGUAAUUAGUACUUAAAUGUGUUUAAUCGUAGGGCAAACGUGUUAUUUAUAAUGUCGAACCACACAAUAGAUGGUAAACUGAAAGGUUUAGAGGAGCGCUUCCAGAACGAGUUGCGUAUGCGAAAAGAAGGUUCUUUUCAUAGUCAAGGUGCUCUUGGGUCGAGUAGACCUGGCAGCGGACGGAGGCCUAACAAACCCUUAUUCGGCAAGGAUAUACCGGCGUUCCCGCCGCGAUCGCCACAUGCGGCGGAGACGGAGAACAGGAUGAGAGAGGUCCACAAGGUGAGCGGCAACCUGACCGUGAACAACGUGCAGUACCGCUCGAACGUGGACGACCUCAUCCAGCUCGGCGAGCUCGGCAGCGGCACCUGCGGGCAUGUGGUCAAGAUGAUGCACAAACCCUCGGGCGCAGUCAUCGCCGUUAAGCAAAUGCGGCGGUCGGGCAACUCUGAGGAGACGAAACGCAUCCUGAUGGAUCUUGAUGUAGUUCUGGGCUCACACGACUGUCAAUACAUAGUGCGUUGUCUCGGCUGCUUCGUGACCGACGCCGACGUGUGGAUCUGCAUGGAGCUGAUGGCGUCCUGUUUCGACAAGUUGCUCAAGCGCCUCUGCGCGCCCAUCCCCGAGGCGAUACUCGGCAAGGUCACCGUCGCGACGGUGAACGCACUAUCGUACCUGAAAGACACGCACGGCGUCAUCCACCGUGACGUCAAACCGAGCAACAUAUUACUGGACGAACGCGGGAACGUGAAGCUUUGCGACUUCGGUAUCAGCGGGCGACUGGUCGACUCCAAGGCCAAGACUAGGAGCGCCGGCUGCGCGGCGUAUAUGGCACCUGAACGAAUCGACCCGCCUGACCCCCAGCGGCCCGACUACGACAUACGCGCCGACGUGUGGUCGCUCGGCAUAUCGCUGGUCGAGCUGGCCACCGGCGUGUUCCCCUACAUGAACUGUCAGAACGACUUCGAAGUGCUCACCAAGGUGAUAUCAGACGACCCGCCGCAACUGCCUGAGGACAGCAACUUUUCACCAGAAUUCAAGUCUUUUGUAUCUCAAUGUCUAACGAAGAACUACAGACAGCGGCCGAAGUACGCGAAACUAUUGGAGCACCCGUUCGUAGUGAAAUCGGCGAGAAGUAACGUGUCCGUGGCGGACUGGUACGCCAACAUCACGGGGGGACACCCCACUCCGGCUAAGACGGUGACAACAACAGCGACGCACACAGUGACGAGUGCGCGGGAGUGCGAGGCGCCCGGGACGCCGCAACCCGCCAGGAACAUGCUCACCAGCCAGUGGAACGUGGAGCUCACACCCACGCCCGCCAGGGCGUGGUGGGCGUCGGCGAGCCCGCACGCCGGAGGCAGCUCCUCUCAGCCCGCGAGCCUCGAGACGGACUUCGCGAACCACUCGCCGUAUCCUCGGCGCAGGACGCUGGAGGCAUGCGCGUCGCCGCCCCCGCCGCCGGCCCGGCGGGUCUCCGCGGACAACCGGUGGCGGCCCUCGCCCGCGAGCUCGGGCAACACUAGUCCUAUAGUCCUCCAGAGGUUCUACCACCAGAGUCAGCAGCGGCGGUCGCGGGUCGACCUCCACGCCACGCCCCGCCACCGGAGCCUGAGCCGCGAGCACAGCACGGGGCGGUCGCCGGAGCCCCCGCCGCGCACGGGCCGCCCGCACCCCAUGCUCGGACACGAGGCUAACGGGGUGGACUUGGAGCCUCCGUCGCUCCACGACCGGCUGCACCCGCACCCGCCGUCGCCGCUCCUGCUCAACAAUAGGUACGCGAGGUUAUCUGAAGGCCGCAGCCAAAGCCUGACCCGCGCCGAGCCCCGGAACGGGUUCCGCACGGACCUGCCCGCGCCGCACGCGCCGCGGCACCGCCACGACGACCAAGGCUGGCUUCACUCGCUCGCUGGACUCCUCAAGAGGAGGCUGAGCGGUUACGUCAAGUGGCAUCACGUUGCAGGCAGGCGGGAGCCGAACCCGCACCCCAACAGGUGAGCUGAUACUAGCUAGUUUAUACAGGCGGCUUCACUCGCUCGCUGGACUCCUCAAGAGGAGGCUGAGCGGUUACAUCAAGUGGCAUCACGUUGCAGGCAGGCGGGAGCCGAACCCGCACCCCAACAGGUGAGCUGAUACUAGCUAGUUUAUACAGGCGGCUUCACUCGCUCGCUGGACUCCUCAAGAGGAGGCUGAGCGGUUACAUCAAGUGGCAUCACGUUGCAGGCAGGCGGGAGCCGAACCCGCACCCCAACAGAUGGGCGCCAGCGGAGAGUUGGAGCGUGCCCGCGUCCCCCCUCCCCCCGCGGGCGCCGCCCCCGCGCCCCGCGGACUAGCGCCGCGACACGUGGUACGUCGACAAGUGGCUCCACCGCGUCGCGUACUGCACACCGUAGAGGUAGAGCCACCCACAAACAAGUCACAGUUACGCUUGAAGGUAACCUUACGGCAUGAGAUUACAGGCUAUUAUCGUUUGACAUUACAGCUUGUUAUAAUCAUACUCGACUUGAGAUUAUAAAGAGUUGAAGCAGGCAACCCCGCGUUUCAAAUCAAAACUCUACUUAAAAUAACAGGCGGGCUUGUUAUUUGUGAACGAUUAUUUUGUUAUUGUGUAAUUGAUAGUCAAGCUUAUGUCAAAUUGAGCCAAUAGGUAAGCUUGUUAUGGUUAUUUCAAACUCAUUAUGUCAAAUUAAGUCUCAACUAAAUUAAGUCAAACUUUGUAUGUCACAUUUAAUGGUUCAGGACAGAUUGUGAUUCGGCAUU